Molecule: long non-coding RNA, 1686 nt
Organism: Coregonus clupeaformis (lake whitefish)
Lineage: Eukaryota; Metazoa; Chordata; Actinopteri; Salmoniformes; Salmonidae
Exons: 6
Source: RefSeq, a predicted model, not a curated record
UCUAAUAAUGAGACAAUAGGGCCCGCAGCAAGGCUGAGUGUAACAGAGCAUCUGUUUGGGGCCCGUGGUCUACACCUUGAUCACAUGCUGCGAGGACGAGGCCACCAUGAAGGAGCUGCUGUCAGUGAGCCAUUAUAAAUACAGCUCCCCGCACCCUGUGGUAGUGCCUCCGCCCCCCGUUGCCAUGACAAAGAGCAGGAGUGGGAGGAGCAACGGCAUCAUCAAAUGUGGAGAGCAAGAGUAGUACAAACACCAACAGUAACCGUAGCACCAACAACAGAACUACCCCAACUAACAAAAGCACUGCCAACAGCAUAACUACCUCAACUGUCAGCAGAAGCAGCAGCCAUAGGCCACAGAAGACUUGGAAGAGGAGGAGGAGGAUGAUGAUGAGGAACUAGUGGUUGUUCCUGAAACAGAGAGCUAUGUCAACCGGAGGAAAAAGAUGGGGAAGAAGCAUGAAGGGAGGACAGAGGGCAGUCAGCAGGAGAACGCCAAACUGUGUCGAGAGUUCAGGAGAAAACAGUCAUCCAGGCGCUUCACCUCCAUGCUGCAUCAGAGACAGAAGCUGCCUACCUGGAUUGAGAAGGAGAACAUCAUGGACCUGCUGGUGUGGUAAGACCACCCAGAUCCCUCAGUUCAUUCUGGAUGCGUCUCUGAUUGGGCCUGCCGACCAGGUGGCUAACAUCAUCUGCACCCAGCCCCGCCGUAUCUUUGCCAUCUCCAUGGCUGAGAGGGUGGCACAGGAGCGGUACAGAACGCCUCUGUAACUCCGGGGCUACCAGAUCCGCCUGGAGACCGUCAGGGCUGCUGUACUGCACCACACCACAGGAGUGCUGCUGAGGAGGCUGGAGGGGGAGGCAGACCUCACAGGGAUCUCUCAUAUCAUAGUGGAUGAGGUACACAAGCGCACAGAGGAGUGACUUCCUCCUGCUGGUGUUGAAAUAUCUGUUGGUCCAGAGCCUAGACCUGAAGAUCACCCUGAUGAGUGCCACCCUCAACGGCACACGUCUUCAGUGUCGGCAUACAGUUGAAGUCGGAGGUGAGGUCUCCUCAUGAGAAGUUCAAGCAGACCAGCAAAAGGAGCGGUGAAGAUGCAGCCCAAAGCAGACGAGCUGCGCUACGUGACCAAGAAUGACGGCUGUGUCCACGUUCAUCCCACCUCCGUCAACUAUAAUGAUUUAUAAACUGUUUGUCAAUCAGCUCUGUGUUCCUGACCUCCUGUGUGUGCAUGCAGGUGGCAGAGCUGGUGAAGGAGCUGGGAGCAGGACCAGCUCCUGGAAGAUAAGAUCAGAAACCCCAGCAUGGACCUGUGUACUUGCCCCCGAAUCAUCCACAUGAUCGUCAAUAAAAAUGGGUUAUUUAACUAAAAUGGUAAUUUGCCAUUGUGUGUAUAAACUCAGCAAAAAAAUAAACGUCCUUUCACUGUCAACUGCGUUUAUUUUCAGCAAACGUAACGUUUAAAUAUUUGAAUGUACAUAACAAGAUUCAACAACUGAGACAUAAACUGAACAAGUUCCACAGACAUGUGACUAACAGAAAUGGAAUAAUGUGUCCCUGAACAAAGGGGGGGGUCAAAAUCAAAAGUAACAGUCACUAUCUCGUGUGGCCACCAGCUCCAUUAAGUACUGCAGUGCAUCUCCUCCUCAUGGACUGCACCAGAUUUGCCAGUUCUUGCUGUGAGAG